RNAcentral lists this ribosomal RNA (883 nucleotides) under uncultured bacterium. RNAcentral's name for it is "bacterial SSU rRNA". It matches the Rfam family "Bacterial small subunit ribosomal RNA", at positions 26 to 896 of the family's 1533-position model. The record is from RNAcentral.
AGAUUGAACGCUGGCGGCAGGCCUAACACAUGCAAGUCGAGCGGAAACAGAAAGUAACUUGUUACUUUGCUGUCGAGCGGCGGACGGGUGAGUAAUGCUUGGGAAACUGCCCAGUCGAGGGGGACAACCAUUGGAAACGAUGGCUAAUACCGCAUACGCCCUACGGGGGAAAGAAGGGGACUCUUCGGAGCCUUUCGCGAUUGGAUGUGCCCAAGUGGGAUUAGCUAGUUGGUGAGGUAAAGGCUCACCAAGGCGACGAUCCCUAGCUGGUUUGAGAGGAUGAUCAGCCACACUGGAACUGAGACACGGUCCAGACUCCUACGGGAGGCAGCAGUGGGGAAUAUUGCACAAUGGGCGCAAGCCUGAUGCAGCCAUGCCGCGUGUAUGAAGAAGGCCUUCGGGUUGUAAAGUACUUUCAGCGAGGAGGAAAGGUUAGUCGUUAAUAACGGCUAGCUGUGACGUUACUCGCAGAAGAAGGACCGGCUAACUCCGUGCCAGCAGCCGCGGUAAUACGGAGGGUCCGAGCGUUAAUCGGAAUUACUGGGCGUAAAGCGUACGCAGGCGGUUUGUUAAGCGAGAUGUGAAAGCCCCGGGCUCAACCUGGGAACUGCAUUUCGAACUGACAAACUAGAGUUUUGUAGAGGGUGGUAGAAUUUCAGGUGUAGCGGUGAAAUGCGUAGAGAUCUGAAGGAAUACCAGUGGCGAAGGCGGCCACCUGGACAAUAACUGACGCUCAUGUACGAAAGCGUGGGGAGCAAACGGGAUUAGAUACCCCGGUAGUCCACGCCGUAAACGAUGUCAACUAGCCGACUGAAUCCUUGAGAUUUGGGUGGCGCAGCUAACGCAUUAAGUUGACCGCCUGGGGAGUACGGCCGCAAGGUUA